Molecule: ribosomal RNA, 506 nt
Filed under: uncultured bacterium
Lineage: Bacteria
Description: partial 16S ribosomal RNA
Rfam family: Bacterial small subunit ribosomal RNA
Source: RNAcentral
AGUGAACGCUGGCGGUAGGCCUAACACAUGCAAGUCGAACGGCAGCACAGGAGAGCUUGCUCUCUGGGUGGCGAGUGGCGGACGGGUGAGGAAUACAUCGGAAUCUACCUUUUCGUGGGGGAUAACGUAGGGAAACUUACGCUAAUACCGCAUACGACCUUCGGGUGAAAGCAGGGGACCUUCGGGCCUUGCGCGGAUAGAUGAGCCGAUGCCGGAUUAGCUAGUUGGCGGGGUAAAGGCCCACCAAGGCGACGAUCCGUAGCUGGUCUGAGAGGAUGAUCAGCAACACUGGAACGGAGACACGGUCCAGACUCCUACGGGAGGCAGCAGUGGGGAAUAUUGGACAAUGGGCGCAAGCCUGAUCCAGCCAUACCGCGUGGGUGAAGAAGGCCUUCGGGUUGUAAAGCCCUUUUGUUGGGAAAGAAAAGCAGCCAGUUAACACCUGGUUGUUCUGACGGUACCCAAAGAAUAAGCACCGGCUAACUUCGUGCCAGCCGCCGCAGUAA